Long non-coding RNA from Polypterus senegalus (gray bichir), 1280 nucleotides. RefSeq lists it as uncharacterized. The record is from RefSeq and is a predicted model, not a curated record. The transcript is spliced from 3 exons. NCBI's taxonomy places the organism in Eukaryota, Metazoa, Chordata, Cladistia, Polypteriformes, Polypteridae.
UUACGGUCUCUCAAUGCUAACUUCCGUCAAAACAAGAAAUCUGCUGAAGAGAACGUGUGGAUUUUUGGCAUCUCGGAGUAGCCCGUCGCAAGGUGCCUGGUCGUGCAUCAAACGCGGAUAUGGUGUGACUGAUCGUUAACGCCUGCAUCUUCGUGGCCAGGAAGAUCAGAGCGUCUAUUGGGAAUACAGAGGCACCUGAAGCCCCCUCAAAGGAAUCAUGCAAACUCAAAGGUAAAGGAAAAGAUGAGAAGGCAUUUGAGAAACCUCUCCCGGUGAAUGCUGAAGAGCUUGAUGUCCCUGGACCUUCACCAUCGACUGCAUGUCAGAAAUAUGGCUCUUGAGGUUAAGGGUUGCACUGGUUGAGCACAAUGGGUUUGGGUUUUAUUUCAAGGUCCAGUUUAGACAUCUAGAGGACAUAGUGUCAUAAGCCGGUACCGCCGUCUGGUGUGCCAUUGUUAAACAUGUCCUUAGGGCACCUCUAGCAGAAAGUUUAUGUGAAGUCCUAAUAGCCGUUCUCUGCUAUGGAGCCAUUCUGAUCUACACCAUGCAGCAUUAAGUUCUCCAGAUAAGACGUUAAUCAGAUAUCAGUGCAUUGUGCUUAGCACUAAUGGAUCUGUGUGCCUUGUAACUGCUGCUCAACUCAUCACAUCAGCCAGACAUGAUAAAACUCCUCAGGUUUUAGAUUCCCACAUAUGUCUGGAAUCGUAGAAAACCCCCAAAGUCCACAAACUGUAGAUUGGCAAAGUAAAUAUUCUCAUGUCCAUCCUUGAAAAAACUUCAAAUUGGCUGCCUUGAACCAGCGAAUGUCCGACCAGAGUAGCCAUAAAAUCUAAUGAGGAGUCAUGACAAAUGCCUCUUGUUGUAGGUGCGGUUCAGCAUCACUUAAUAUUGGAGAACGGCUUUUAGGGUCCGGCACCCGAUUAAGUCUAUGGGCGGAGAGGUGCCUUGUUUUACAGCAUGCCUUUUUUAAAAAUUUAAAGGGAAUUCACUUUAUGGAAAGCAGGGACCCAGCCCUUGCAUUUAGUGAUUCAUUUUUUUGGAUUUUUGAUAACACUCUGAAACUCAACAUGUCUAAAUGUGCAAUAAAUAUGUAUUGAAAAACCCCAAACUCUGCAACCAAGUGCCUCCUGACCAACUCACGUCUGUGUCUUAAUGGGAGCAGCAGCGAAUGAUGGCUUUGUCACCAACUCCCUAACUAUGGGAGAUGAUGAGCUCUGAAAAGAUCUGUUGACAUCCCACAGUUUAUGUUUCAAUAAAGUUUGACUCCUUUGUAAUUAUCA